This 253-nucleotide ribosomal RNA is filed under the name uncultured bacterium. RNAcentral's name for it is "partial 16S ribosomal RNA". It matches the Rfam family "Bacterial small subunit ribosomal RNA", at positions 524 to 776 of the family's 1533-position model. The record is from RNAcentral.
UACGUAGGGUGCGAGCGUUGUCCGGAUUUAUUGGGCGUAAAGAGCUCGUAGGCGGUUUGUCGCGUCGGCCGUGAAAUCUCCACGCUUAACGUGGAGCGUGCAGUCGAUACGGGCAGGCUAGAAUUCGGUAGGGGAGACUGGAAUUCCUGGUGUAGCGGUGAAAUGCGUAGAUAUCGGAAGGAACAUCAGUGGCGAAAGCGACUUCCUGGACCAGUACCGACGUUCAGGCACGAAAGCGUGGGGAGCAAACAGG